GGCGCCCGGCGAGGUGACGAUCAGCGGUUCCGACCCGCUGUUCGUAUCGCCGUUCCGCAUCGGCCGGACGCUC
This 73-nucleotide transfer RNA is filed under the name Streptomyces rimosus subsp. rimosus. RNAcentral's name for it is "tRNA-Arg(ccg)". The record is from RNAcentral. Lineage: Bacteria; Bacillati; Actinomycetota; Actinomycetes; Kitasatosporales; Streptomycetaceae.